GAGCUUGCUCCUGGAUUAGUGGCGAACGGGUGAGUAACACGUGAGUAACCUGCCCUUAACUCUGGGAUAAGCCUGGGAAACUGGGUCUAAUACCGGAUAUGACUCCUCAUCGCAUGGUGGGGGGUGGAAAGCUUUAUUGUGGUUUUGGAUGGACUCGCGGCCUAUCAGCUUGUUGGUGAGGUAAUGGCUUACCAAGGCGACGACGGGUAGCCGGCCUGAGAGGGUGACCGGCCACACUGGGACUGAGACACGGCCCAGACUCCUACGGGAGGCAGCAGUGGGGAAUAUUGCACAAUGGGCGCAAGCCUGAUGCAGCGACGCCGCGUGAGGGAUGACGGCCUUCGGGUUGUAAACCUCUUUCAGUAGGGAAGAAGCGAAAGUGACGGUACCUGCAGAAGAAGCGCCGGCUAAUUACGUGCCAGCAGCCGCGGUAAUACGUAGGGCGCAAGCGUUAUCCGGAAUUAUUGGGCGUAAAGAGCUCGUAGGCGGUUUGUCGCGUCUGCCGUGAAAGCCCGGGGCUCAACUCCGGAUCUGCGGUGGGUACGGGCAGACUAGAGUGAUGUAGGGGAAACUGGAAUUCCUGGUGUAGCGGUGAAAUGCGCAGAUAUCAGGAGGAACACCGAUGGCGAAGGCAGGUCUCUGGGCAUUAACUGACGCUGAGGAGCGAAAGCAUGGGGAGCGAACAGGAUUAGAUACCCUGGUAGUCCAUGCCGUAAACGUUGGGCACUAGGUGUGGGGGACA
RNAcentral lists this ribosomal RNA (742 nucleotides) under uncultured Arthrobacter sp. RNAcentral describes it as "bacterial SSU rRNA". It matches the Rfam family "Bacterial small subunit ribosomal RNA", at positions 76 to 831 of the family's 1533-position model. Lineage: Bacteria; Bacillati; Actinomycetota; Actinomycetes; Micrococcales; Micrococcaceae. The record is from RNAcentral.